RNAcentral lists this ribosomal RNA (254 nucleotides) under uncultured bacterium. RNAcentral describes it as "partial 16S ribosomal RNA". It matches the Rfam family "Bacterial small subunit ribosomal RNA", at positions 524 to 776 of the family's 1533-position model. The record is from RNAcentral.
UACGUAGGGAGCAAGCGUUGUUCGGAUUUACUGGGCGUAAAGGGCGCGUAGGCGGCGCGGUAAGUCACUUGUGAAAUCUCUGAGCUUAACUCAGAACGGCCAAGUGAUACUGCAGUGCUAGAGUGCAGAAAGGGCAAUCGGAAUUCUUGGUGUAGCGGUGAAAUGCGUAGAUAUCAAGAGGAACACCUGAGGCGAAGGCGGGUUGCUAGGCUGACACUGACGCUGAGUGCGCGAAAGCCAGAGGAGCAAACGGG